AGAGUAUGCAAGCUUUAGCAAUAAUAUUGUCAGUUGUUGUGUUUGUAAGACUGAUUUGAAGAUGUAUUUAUAGUGUCAAACCAUGCAUUACCGUUGCCUAAUUGCCAAUUAAGAAUUGCUGAUUUUGUGCUAUGACAAUCGAUUGUCUACUCGGCACAAUCAAUUGUUUUUCAAUCGUUCCAAAAAUCAUUCCCAGAUUUUACGCCAU
This 208-nucleotide long non-coding RNA is filed under the name Nicotiana benthamiana. Its description in RNAcentral is "long non-coding RNA (NBEN_LNC025460)". Lineage: Eukaryota; Viridiplantae; Streptophyta; Magnoliopsida; Solanales; Solanaceae. The record is from RNAcentral.